RNAcentral lists this ribosomal RNA (249 nucleotides) under uncultured bacterium. RNAcentral describes it as "partial 16S ribosomal RNA". It matches the Rfam family "Bacterial small subunit ribosomal RNA", at positions 524 to 769 of the family's 1533-position model. The record is from RNAcentral.
GAUGAACCGUGCGAACGUUGUUCGGAAUCACUGGGCUUAAAGGGCGCGUAGGCGGACCGCCAAGUCCGUGGUGAAAUCCUCCAGCUUAACUGGAGAACUGCCGCGGAUACUGGAGGUCUCGAGGGGAGGUAGGGGCAAGCGGAACUGUGGGUGGAGCGGGUGAAAUGCGUUGAUAUCCACAGGAACUCCGGUGGCGAAGGCGGCUUGCUGGACCUUUUCUGACGCUGAGGCGCGAAAGCCAGGGGGAGC